GGGCGUUUAGCUCAGUUGGAAGAGCGCUGCCCUUACAAGGCAGAGGUCGGCGGUUCGAGCCCGUCAACGCCCACCA
This 76-nucleotide transfer RNA is filed under the name Acidimicrobiia bacterium. Its description in RNAcentral is "tRNA-Val". It matches the Rfam family "tRNA". Rfam says of the family: Transfer RNA (tRNA) molecules are approximately 80 nucleotides in length. Their secondary structure includes four short double-helical elements and three loops (D, anti-codon, and T loops). Further hydrogen bonds mediate the characteristic L-shaped molecular structure. tRNAs have two regions of fundamental functional importance: the anti-codon, which is responsible for specific mRNA codon recognition, and the 3' end, to which the tRNAs corresponding amino acid is attached (by aminoacyl-tRNA synthetases). tRNAs cope with the degeneracy of the genetic code in two manners: having more than one tRNA (with a specific anti-codon) for a particular amino acid; and 'wobble' base-pairing, i.e. permitting non-standard base-pairing at the 3rd anti-codon position. The record is from RNAcentral. Lineage: Bacteria; Bacillati; Actinomycetota; Acidimicrobiia.